Molecule: ribosomal RNA, 253 nt
Filed under: uncultured bacterium
Lineage: Bacteria
Description: partial 16S ribosomal RNA
Rfam family: Bacterial small subunit ribosomal RNA
Source: RNAcentral
UACGAAGGGGGCUAGCGUUGCUCGGAAUCACUGGGCGUAAAGGGUGCGUAGGCGGGUUUUUAAGUCAGGGGUGAAAUCCUGGAGCUCAACUCCAGAACUGCCUUUGAUACUGAAGAUCUUGAGUCCGGGAGAGGUGAGUGGAACUGCGAGUGUAGAGGUGAAAUUCGUAGAUAUUCGCAAGAACACCAGUGGCGAAGGCGGCUCACUGGCCCGGUACUGACGCUGAGGUGCGAAAGCGUGGGGAGCGAACAGG